This 555-nucleotide ribosomal RNA is filed under the name Leucopodella sp. MZH S78_2004. Its description in RNAcentral is "eukaryotic LSU rRNA". The record is from RNAcentral. Lineage: Eukaryota; Metazoa; Arthropoda; Insecta; Diptera; Syrphidae.
AGUACGUGAAACUGCUUAGAGGUUAAACCCGAUGAACCUGAAUAUCCGUUAUGGAAAAUUCAUCAUUAAUACUAUGUUAUUUUAUUAUUACCAUAGAUAUAGUGUGCAAUUUUUCCAUAUAAGGACAUUGUAAUCUGUUAAUGUUAUAAAUAUUUAUUAAAAGAUCUUUUACUUAAGUUUAUUCAAAUUAAUUAUUUUCGGAUUUUUAACAUAGAAUAAUUGUAUUAGAUUUAAUAAAUCAUUGACAGAUUUAAUUAUAUAAGGUGCUUAAAUUUAAAUGAAAUUUUACAAUGUUAAAUAAAUCUAAGAUUUAUUUUUUUAUAUUGUAUGCACUUUUAUGAUUAACAAUGCGAUAGAUUCAGGAUACCUUCGGGACCCGUCUUGAAACACGGACCAAGGAGUCUAACAUAUGUGCAAGUCAUUGGGUAUUUUAUAUAAAACCUAUUGGCAUAAUUAACUUAACUGUUUAAUUGGGAUUAGUUUAUAUUUUAUUAUGAAAUAUGAAUUCAAUCCCGGGGCGUUCUAUAUAGUUAUACAUAAUAGUAUUUAUAUUAU